This 503-nucleotide ribosomal RNA is filed under the name uncultured bacterium. RNAcentral's name for it is "partial 16S ribosomal RNA". It matches the Rfam family "Bacterial small subunit ribosomal RNA", at positions 355 to 874 of the family's 1533-position model. The record is from RNAcentral.
UGGGGAAUAUUGGACAAUGGGCGCAAGCCUGAUCCAGCCAUGCCGCGUGAGUGAUGAAGGCCCUAGGGUUGUAAAGCUCUUUCGCCAGGGACGAUAAUGACGGUACCUGGAUAAGAAGCCCCGGCUAACUUCGUGCCAGCAGCCGCGGUAAUACGAAGGGGGCUAGCGUUGUUCGGAAUCACUGGGCGUAAAGCGCACGUAGGCGGAUCUUUAAGUCAGGGGUGAAUCCCGAGGCUCAACCUCGGAACUGCCUUUGAUACUGGAGGUCUCGAGUUCGGGANAGGUGAGUGGAACUGCGAGUGUAGAGGUGAAAUUCGUAGAUAUUCGCAAGAACACCAGUGGCGAAGGCGGCUCACUGGCCCGAUACUGACGCUGAGGUGCGAAAGCGUGGGGAGCAAAACAGGAUUAGAUACCCUGGUAGUCCACGCCGUAAAACGAUGGAUGCUAGCCCGUUGGGGAGCUUGCUCUUCAGUGGCGCAGCUAACGCUUUAAGCAUCCCGCCU